CAGUCGCCACGGGAAUACGGAGGGGGCUAGCGUUGUUCGGAAUUACUGGGCGUAAAGCGCACGUAGGCGGCUUUGUAAGUUAGAGGUGAAAGCCCGGAGCUCAACUCCGGAAUUGCCUUUAAGACUGCAGAGCUAGUAGGUGAGAGAGGUAAGUGGAAUUCCGAGUGUAGAGGUGAAAUUCGUAGAUAUUCGGAAGAACACCAGUGGCGAAGGCGGCUUACUGGCUCAUUCUAGACGCUGAGGUGCGAAAGCGUGGGGAGCAAACAGGAUUAGAUACCCGAGUAGUCCCUGUCUCUUAUAC
Molecule: ribosomal RNA, 301 nt
Filed under: uncultured bacterium
Lineage: Bacteria
Description: partial 16S ribosomal RNA
Rfam family: Bacterial small subunit ribosomal RNA
Source: RNAcentral